UUCUUCUGUGACUCAAUCAACUUCCAGAAUUUAAAUUAUUCUUUAAAUUGUUAGCGUAACUGUGGCAAUAAUAGCAGCAGAGAUGGAGUGGGCCGAUUUUAUUCUACAUAUCUUCUUUGGGAUGUGCAGAAGGCCCUACAAUGCUAUCUGGAGACAUUGUGUGCCAGAAAUUGCCUUGAGAGAAUUUUCUUCUAUGCUUUAUCCUGAACUGUUUAUAUGGCUGUUCAACGCUCUUCCAGCAACUAUUAAAGGAAGCUUGUGCUCAUGCGGUGUCCUGUGAAUGUGACUUGAUGAACAUACCUACCAGAAAAUAAGCUGGGGUAAAGCAGAUGCUGCCCUGGAGAAAAUCCAGACUGUGUGAGAGUGGCAUUUUGCUUUGCUUUCCACAGAAAAAUUGUAGUUGCUCAGCUAUAAA
Molecule: long non-coding RNA, 415 nt
Filed under: Anser brachyrhynchus (Pink-footed goose)
Lineage: Eukaryota; Metazoa; Chordata; Aves; Anseriformes; Anatidae
Description: lncRNA (ENSABRG00000017597.1)
Source: RNAcentral